AAUUCUAUCUGGCUAGACUAGUGUCAAGGGUUUCCUUGUGGGCAGAAGGGGUCACAGAUCUUGAACUGGAAGGGAACCCAAAGACUGUAUAUUUCAGCCUCCCCAUUUUAUGCUUCUUAAUAGUUAGAGUUAGCAAAGACCCUGGACUUGCAAAUGUUCAACCAGAGUCUGUGACUUUGUUUUUUUUUAAUUUUUGAUAAUUGUUUAAUGGCAUUGAUAUUCUUUGUUAUCCCAGGUACUUUUUUAUUUUAUUAAUUUAAAAGCAGGUAUCAUCAGGCUUUAUCAGACUGUCAGAGGGGUCCAUGGUAUCUAGUUCACCUACUCCACCUCCGUUUUAUAAGUGAAGGAUCUGAAACACAGAGAUUGGCAGGGAUUUGGUCAAACUUACAUAUUUAGUAAAUAGCAGGAUAGGCAGUAACUCUAAGCCCUCUGAUUUUAUAUCUAAAAUUUUGUCAUUCUAUUAUGGUUAAAGGAAUAAGCAUUAAAAUACAUAUCAUGUAUUUUAUGCAAUGUGCCAAGUGCUUUCCAAAUAUGAUUUCAUUUGAUCCUCACAGCAACAGAAUCCCAGUUCUCGUCCUGUCCAGCCCUCCAGUCAUUAUCUAGGGGAAUAAUUGCUGUCCAGAUUCAGUCCUUCCAUUGCCACCAACACCAACAGCAACACUAAUUACCUUAGGUAACUAGCCUAUAAAGCACAGAAAAGUCAUUGACCUGUAUCAGUGAAGGGGGUUUUCAUAUGUGGAUGCCUUGCAUGGAUGAAAUCAUAGACCCAGAUUUAAAAAAAAAUGCAUCUUGGAAACAUGAAAAAAAAAGGUAUACCAAUGGACCGAAAGGGGAAAGUAAUAACCAACCAGGAUCAUUAAGUGGCUUGGAGAUGCAUCAGCUGGUCAAUAGCAGCUGGGAACACAUAUCUACCAAGUUAAUGAGGGACAGCAAGGAGGAGGUGUUGCAUCCCAGGCAGAAGGGUGAUUCAUGACAAAUUUAGACUUUUUCCCAGGCCCAAAUUACAGUCAGAGUAAAACAACCUGUGUACAUCAUAGGCAAUUUAAGAAAGCCUUGGGCAAUGCCUAGUGGGUAAUCAUUCUCCUAAUAAACGAGAUCUAAAGCAUUCA
This 1109-nucleotide long non-coding RNA is filed under the name Monodelphis domestica (gray short-tailed opossum). Its description in RNAcentral is "lncRNA (ENSMODG00000046940.1)". The record is from RNAcentral. Lineage: Eukaryota; Metazoa; Chordata; Mammalia; Didelphimorphia; Didelphidae.